Ixodes scapularis (black-legged tick) is the source of this 912-nucleotide long non-coding RNA. RefSeq lists it as uncharacterized. Lineage: Eukaryota; Metazoa; Arthropoda; Arachnida; Ixodida; Ixodidae. The transcript is spliced from 4 exons. The record is from RefSeq and is a predicted model, not a curated record.
AAGUGACGAGUCCUGGAGUGGUGGCCGUAGCCAAGGGUUCUCCAUCCGGACAAGCAUCACCGAAAGUCCCCAAGCAUACACUCGUGACUCCAACCAAGAACCCCCGAUAUAAAUUCUUCACGUCGAAGAACGCGCGUGCCGAUGAAACCCCAGGGGCGUCGAAACAAACAACGGUUUUACCGGGACAGCCCUUCACUGACAAAGCUGAGCCUGCCCCCGAAGCUUCGCCGAGUGGACGAGUCUCAACUUCCCGGACGAGCGAGCGCAGUAAAACGCCCUUCUGGGUGCAGAGUCGUGCAGCCACCUCCGACCAGGAGAAAUCGGCAGAAAAGCCUGAUGAAGCAACGGCCGACGAGCCCCCACCACCACCUACGAGAAGAAGUGAGCGACCUCGCAAACUCUCGGUACCCUCUUACAAAGAGCCCAAUGUUAACAGGAAAAUGCGACGCCAGUGAUUGGCAGGACAGCACCUUCCAGAGUCCAGACGAUCAGCUUGUGUGACAACACACAAUCUGUAGAUCAAUUUUAGUUUAAAAUAUUUUAUAGUUACUCCAACAGAGCGACUCCAUUAUAGUCUGUUGCAGGUUAAAAAAAGCAGCACCUGCUCCUCCCCCGAAGCUCUCCACUCUUUCCACUUCAGCAGCGCACACGCUGGCGAGGAGUCCAUUCUCGCCUCCUCUCUGCAGCGUUCGCUUUGUUAAAAUGAAGUGGAGGGCAUUGCGGGUGGAGCUUGUUCGGCCUUCCUAACCUGCGACAGGCUAUAGUGCAGUAGCUCUAUUGGAGUUAGUUUUAACUGUUUUAUCUGACUGCAUUCAAUAAAAUCGUACAGGGAAAACCUCCACAGGGGCUCUAACCUCUAACAGAGUGCUUCGUAAAAGAGUGCACAUACUCUUGCCUCAUGCGCAAGGCAGC